Molecule: long non-coding RNA, 489 nt
Organism: Canis lupus familiaris (dog)
Lineage: Eukaryota; Metazoa; Chordata; Mammalia; Carnivora; Canidae
Exons: 3
Source: RefSeq, a predicted model, not a curated record
AGGAAGUGAAGAUAUUCAUAAUGAUAAAGCCACAAAGUUAGAAGAAUCCUGAAUCCCUGAAUUUUUACUUAGAAGAAUACCACCGAGGAGAACUCAUUCAGCCUAUAUAAGACUAUGGCAUGAGUGGACACACAUUUUCCUAAGAGGGGAGGCUCCUGGCCUAUCCAGCUGCAUGUUUCUUCUCCAUUUCUGGGAAAGAAGAUACCAAAUUGUAAAAGAUGCAAGGAAUUAAAGCUGCUGAAACGUUAAUGAUGGAAGAAGCUGAGGCCACAUCAUUACGAGGCGACAUUUAAAGGAGAUGAGGAAUGAGCCAUGUGCAUCUCUCAGAAGAAUAGCCGGGCAGAUGGAGCAGCUAGCACAGAGGCACCAAGGCAAGUAUGUGUCCGGUGCAUCCAAGAAAUAUCCAAAAGGCCAAGAUGGGUGCAAGAAGGAAGCAAGAAAGAGCUGUGAAAGUUGAAGUCAGAAAGAUAAAGAAGGGAAGAAUCAGGA